RNAcentral lists this long non-coding RNA (584 nucleotides) under Vigna radiata. RNAcentral describes it as "long non-coding RNA (VRAD_LNC009660)". Lineage: Eukaryota; Viridiplantae; Streptophyta; Magnoliopsida; Fabales; Fabaceae. The record is from RNAcentral.
AAUAAUUGUCAAAAAUCACGUUUGCAUCAAUUAUUGUCCAUUAAGUCCACGUUUACAAGAGUUGAUUCUAUUCAACGUUUUCUUGUUUAACUUUUUCUUUGGUCUUGUUUUCUGAAUGUUUCUAUUGAUAAAUUUUGACUUUUCCUUCUUUUCUAUCAUCUUUUGAUUCAUUUAUUGUUUUUUCUUAGUUUGAUCAUUUCUUGAUAUUAAGUGUUCCUCCUUCCAUCUCUUUCAUCUCGACCUGCACCUCCAAAUUAUAAUUUAAUUCCUACUGUACCCUUAACCCCUAUAAAGCUGACCUAUUCAUUGUUUUUAUAAAAAAUUACCUAACUUUGCCGCAACUCACACCCACAAACCCUACACUCCCUUUUUUUCAUUCUACCCUUUACCUUCUUGCUCUCAUCCGCUCCAACACCAAGUUUUUGAAGCGGAGCUGCUGCUAUCUGUGUUUAGCGUUCGUGUGUAGCUGAGUACCACUUCUUUUCGUGUUUGAAGUCUUUCUGGCGUCCAGGUUAGUAUUUUUCCUUUUUUUUUUCCAUUCGUAGAUCUGGUUAUGUGGUUGAUGUUGUGAGUUUAAGAAUCAU